RNAcentral lists this transfer RNA (71 nucleotides) under Agaricus bisporus var. burnettii JB137-S8. RNAcentral describes it as "tRNA-Gly (CCC) (tRNA-Gly-CCC-1-1)". It matches the Rfam family "tRNA". From Rfam's summary of the family: Transfer RNA (tRNA) molecules are approximately 80 nucleotides in length. RNAcentral also lists the same sequence under 1 other name. Lineage: Eukaryota; Fungi; Basidiomycota; Agaricomycetes; Agaricales; Agaricaceae. The record is from RNAcentral.
GCAUUGAUGGUGUAACGGUAACAUUGGGUCUUCCCAUGGCCUAGCCCCGGGUUCGACUCCCGGUCAAUGCA